This 293-nucleotide ribosomal RNA is filed under the name uncultured Planctomycetota bacterium. RNAcentral's name for it is "uncultured planctomycete partial 16S ribosomal RNA". The record is from RNAcentral. Lineage: Bacteria; Pseudomonadati; Planctomycetota.
GGACUACUGGGGUAUCUAAUCCCGUUCGCUCCCCUGGCUUUCGCGUCUCAGCGUCAGCAGGAGUCCAGGGCCUCGCUUUCGCCACGGGCGUUCCUUCCGAUCUCAACGCAUUUCACCGCUCCACCGGAAGUUCCAGGCCCCCCUACUCCCCUCCAGGCCGGUCGUAUCGGCGCCGCUUCCCCGGUUGAGCCGGGGGAUUUCAGCGGCCGACGUGCCGGCCCGCCUACACGCGCUUUAAGCCCAGUGAUUCCGAAUAACGUUCGCACGGUUCGUCUUACCGCGGCUGCUGGCAC